GACGAACGCUGGCGGCGUGCUUAACACAUGCAAGUCGAACGGAAAGGCCCUGCUUGCAGGGUACUCGAGUGGCGAACGGGUGAGUAACACGUGGGUGAUCUGCCCUGCACUUCGGGAUAAGCCUGGGAAACUGGGUCUAAUACCGGAUAGGAGCCAUUUUUAGUGUGAUGGUUGGAAAGUUUUUUCGGUGUAGGAUGAGCUCGCGGCCUAUCAGCUUGUUGGUGGGGUAAUGGCCUACCAAGGCGGCGACGGGUAGCCGGCCUGGGAGGGUGGACGGCCACAUUGGGACUGGGAUACGGCCCAGACGCCUACGGGAGGCAGCAGUGGGGAAUAUUGCACAAUGGGCGCAAGCCUGAUGCAGCGACGCCGCGUGGGGGAUGACGGACUUCGGGUUGUAAACUCCUUUCGCUAGGGACGAAGCUUUUUGUGACGGUACCUAGAUAAGAAGCACCGGCUAACUACGUG
This 465-nucleotide ribosomal RNA is filed under the name uncultured bacterium. Its description in RNAcentral is "partial 16S ribosomal RNA". It matches the Rfam family "Bacterial small subunit ribosomal RNA", at positions 28 to 507 of the family's 1533-position model. The record is from RNAcentral.